UACAGGCUUAACACAUGCAAGUCGAGGGGCAGCAUGGUCUUAGCUUGCUAAGGCCGAUGGCGACCGGCGCACGGGUGAGUAACACGUAUCCAACCUGCCGUCUACUCUUGGACAGCCUUCUGAAAGGAAGAUUAAUACAAGAUGGCAUCAUGAGUCCGCAUGUUCACAUGAUUAAAGGUAUUCCGGUAGACGAUGGGGAUGCGUUCCAUUAGAUAGUAGGCGGGGUAACGGCCCACCUAGUCUUCGAUGGAUAGGGGUUCUGAGAGGAAGGUCCCCCACAUUGGAACUGAGACACGGUCCAAACUCCUACGGGAGGCAGCAGUGAGGAAUAUUGGUCAAUGGGCGAGAGCCUGAACCAGCCAAGUAGCGUGAAGGAUGACUGCCCUAUGGGUUGUAAACUUCUUUUAUAAAGGAAUAAAGUCGGGUAUGGAUACCCGUUUGCAUGUACUUUAUGAAUAAGGAUCGGCUAACUCCGUGCCAGCAGCCGCGGUAAUACGGAGGAUCCGAGCGUUAUCCGGAUUUAUUGGGUUUAAAGGGAGCGUAGAUGGAUGUUUAAGUCAGUUGUGAAAGUUUGCGGCUCAACCGUAAAAUUGCAGUUGAUACUGGAUAUCUUGAGUGCAGUUGAGGCAGGCGGAAUUCGUGGUGUAGCGGUGAAAUGCUUAGAUAUCACGAAGAACUCCGAUUGCGAAGGCAGCCUGCUAAGCUGCAACUGACAUUGAGGCUCGAAAGUGUGGGUAUCAAACAGGAUUAGAUACCCUGGUAGUCUACACGGUAAACGAUGAAUACUCGCUGUUUGCGAUAUACUGCAAGCGGCCAAGCGAAAGCGUUAAGUAUUCCACCUGGGGAGUACGCCGGCAACGGUGAAACUCAAAGGAAUUGACGGGGGCCCGCACAAGCGGAGGAACAUGUGGUUUAAUUCGAUGAUACGCGAGGAACCUUACCCGGGCUUAAAUUGCAGAUGAAUUACGGUGAAAGCCGUAAGCCGCAAGGCAUCUGUGAAGGUGCUGCAUGGUUGUCGUCAGCUCGUGCCGUGAGGUGUCGGCUUAAGUGCCAUAACGAGCGCAACCCUUGUUGUCAGUUACUAACAGGUUCCGCUGAGGACUCUGACAAGACUGCCAUCGUAAGAUGUGAGGAAGGUGGGGAUGACGUCAAAUCAGCACGGCCCUUACGUCCGGGGCUACACACGUGUUACAAUGGGGGGUACAGAGGGCCGCUACCACGCGAGUGGAUGCCAAUCCCCAAAACCUCUCUCAGUUCGGACUGGAGUCUGCAACCCGACUCCACGAAGCUGGAUUCGCUAGUAAUCGCGCAUCAGCCACGGCGCGGUGAAUACGUUCCCGGGCCUUGUACACACCGCCCGUCAAGCCAUGGGAGCCGGGGGUACCUGAAGUGCGUAACCGCGAGGAGCGCCCUAGGGUAAAACUGGUGACUGGGGCUAAAU
This 1441-nucleotide ribosomal RNA is filed under the name uncultured organism. RNAcentral describes it as "SSU rRNA". It matches the Rfam family "Bacterial small subunit ribosomal RNA". The record is from RNAcentral.